UGUAGGUAACAUUUCCUAUCAAAGACUGGGUUUCUUGGGAAGAAAUCUCUGAGUCAGAAAUUAGCAUGGACAAUGCUGCUCCUGGGACCAACAUGUGAGAAGGAAAGCAGGAUUGGUUAAGCAAGAUGUUAAGCUUCGAUGCAGUCUCAAUGAAAUCCUCAUCUAUCUAACCCCCAUGGGCUCUUAACUGGCCAUGUCACCAGGACCUCCUAAAACUGUUACCUGCUUGACCUGCAAGCCAUGGCUCCAUAUCCUCUCCAGCAGGUCACAAAGGCUGGCGAUCAAGGUGUUCUCCUCCAGGCCGGUGAUGUUUGCUUCUCCAUGGCCAAGUUCCACCGCUUCAUGUCCCAUCUUCUCCACCAACAUGCGCUUUGUCUAAGAAUAUCACGUGUAGUCAUAAGGCACCCCAGCAGUGAAACCAAAAACCAACAAGUCAAUUACUAAAGUAGGAGACUUGGUUUCCCUUCAUUAUACUUCUAUUUGCAGAUUUGUAAUCACCUUGGGAAAAAAAUCUCUUAAUCUUGAUGUUCAACUAACUGGACUAAUAUAAUUUAUAUGUCACUAUUUUGUCAGAAAAAUGGAGUGUGACUAAAGAGAAUAUAAGAUAAUAUUUGUAAGGCAUCCCCAUGUUGAAAAGAUGCUUAUAUACAACAGUUGUCAAAUUAUUAACUUCUGUGAUAUUGGGGAAUUACAGCAGACUUAGAAAAUGUACUGUCAGGGCUGGGCAUGGUGGCUCACACCUGUAAUCCCAGCACUUUGGGAGGCCCAGGCAAGUGGAUCACCUGGGGUCAGGAGUUCGAGACCAGCCUGGCCAACAUGGUGAAACCCUGUCUCCACUAAAAAUACAAGUUAGCCGGGCAGUAGUGGCACACGCCUGUAAUCCCAGUUAUUUGGGAGGCUGAGGCAGAAGAAUUGCUUGAACCCAGGAGGUAGAGGUUGCAGUGAGCUGAGAUCACAUGCCACUGCACUCCAGCCCGCUGCGUGAUAGAGCGAGACUCUGUCUCAAAAAACAAGAAACAAUAAAAAAAGAAAAUGUACUGUCAGAAUAUGGAACCCCAUCCUGCCACCACAACUUGCCCUAUCACUGCCCCAGCAUCUUAGCAUACUAAAGAUUCUUGCACUUAGUUUGAUUGCACUUAGGUAAAAACCAGAAUACAAAUGGGCAGCUCUAAAUUUUUUGAGAACUCUAAUUUGUGAAUGAACCAGGACUUUACUUCUCCUUUUUUAUCUUUUCUUUGUUCAUCAAGCAUGCACCAAAAAAUGGAAAGAAAAUGGAAAUCAGUUUCAUGUAAGUUAAUUUGCAUCAGUCUUAGUAGCUUUUAUAAAAUGUAAAAUGAGAGAGAAUCUAGCUCUUUUAGGCAAGAACUUUAAUUCACCACUAUAUACUGAUGCUGAAAAUAGUAGUACAUUUAUUGAAUAUGCAGAGAAGGUACUCAAGAAAUGACUGUCAAAUAAAUAAAUAAAAUCAUUAGCUAAAAUGAUGUUUUAAGUUUUGUCAAUUUGUAC
RNAcentral lists this long non-coding RNA (1506 nucleotides) under Homo sapiens (human). Its description in RNAcentral is "HSALNT0187416". The record is from RNAcentral. Lineage: Eukaryota; Metazoa; Chordata; Mammalia; Primates; Hominidae.